This 228-nucleotide ribosomal RNA is filed under the name uncultured bacterium. RNAcentral describes it as "partial 16S ribosomal RNA". It matches the Rfam family "Bacterial small subunit ribosomal RNA", at positions 568 to 795 of the family's 1533-position model. The record is from RNAcentral.
UGCGUAGGCGGAAUGAUAAGUUAGUGGUGAAAGCCCCCGGCUCAACCGGGGAACUGCCAUUAAUACUGUCAUUCUUGAGUAUAGUUGAAGUGGGCGGAAUGUAUCAUGUAGCGGUGAAAUGCUUAGAUAUGAUACAGAACACCGAUAGCGUAGGCAGCUUGCUAAACUAUAACUGACGCUCAGGCACGAAAGCGUGGGGAGCAAACAGGAUUAGAUACCCUGGUAGUC